This 76-nucleotide small RNA is filed under the name Flavobacterium granuli. Its description in RNAcentral is "Flavo-1 RNA". It matches the Rfam family "Flavo-1 RNA". The record is from RNAcentral. Lineage: Bacteria; Pseudomonadati; Bacteroidota; Flavobacteriia; Flavobacteriales; Flavobacteriaceae.
UUUUAGCCCCGAUAGCAGCGGCAUCCUCUUGUGGCGGAGUUCGCCACAAGAGAUAUAGCGGAUAGCGGGAUUAGCU